CACCAGCUGGGAUGAUGGGGCUGUCCCCACAACAAAGGCCCCUUUUUGGAGAUCCCUGGGGCUCAGGAGCCAGUGAGUCUGUCUUUGGGGAAGAUAAGGCAGAGGGCCAACCCUCACGACCCACGAGUGUGGCAUGUCCAUGACCAGAGACCAAGGCCAGGCUUGCGACAUGAAAAGAAAAAUGGCCCCAAGUGGGACUGCCUUUUUUUAAUUCCAAGGAACAGCACCGGCCACAUCAGCACUGUUCUCGCCUCUGCCUCCAAGCUCUGUUUCUCAUCUGGCUGCUGAGAGAAGUUGCUGUUGCUCUGCCAGCAAAAUGUCUCUAGGAAGAAAGGAAUGGAAAAUAUGAGGAAAUUUCCUUACAAAAUCUCAAAGAAUCCUCGCUCAGCAUAACCAGUGAGAAUUAGCUGCACAAUGAACCACAUCGGAAAAGGCGAUCAUAAUUCCUCAGUGCCUGAUGCCCACCCAGAUUUACAGCAGGACCGCUCUUUGUGGAUCCACAAAAGGUUUCCACGUUGAGGGAGAGCUUCCCAAAUGGGACCGAAGACAUGAAUCUCAUAGGUGAGGACCCUCACUGGGGAGUCCUGAUGGAGAGAUGGGACCAGCCACCCUGGAACCUGAAUAAGGAAUUUGAAGACUUGGACUUGGGGCUGGAAAUGCCAUUUUACUUGGAAAUAAGAAAAUUUAUAUGGAAUAUAAAUAUGCAAGUGAAGUACUGAGGAUGAUUUUCAGAACCUUCUUUGUAGAUAAUUACACCCAGGUGAGCCUCUUCUGAAUGUCACCUUGAAUUAUAAAUGCCUCCCUCUCUUCUAUCCUCUUAGGCAAUGAAGAUACAUGGUGCAGAAGUUUUGAAAUCAGCCAUAUCUGGCUGAAAGUCCUGAAUCUGCCAUUUAGUGGCUGUGUGACCUUAGGAAAGUCAUGCCACCUCUCUGAGCUUCAGUUUCUCCAUCUGAUUCAUGGUAGUAGUAAUGACAGCUAACACUUUCCUGAUCAUUUUCUAUGAACCAAUGUUGUAAAUCGUCUACAUCGAUCAACUCUUUUCAACCUCAUGACAAACUCAUCAUGUAUAUUGUUAUGGGUUGAAUGGUAUUUCCCAAACAUUUACAUGUUGAAAUCCUAACCCCCAGUAUCAUAGAAUGUGGACUUAUUUGGAUAUAGGAUUGUUGUGGAAGUAAUUAGGUAAUUUAAGAUGACAUUUUACUAGAGUAGGAUGAGCCCCUAAUCCAACAUGACAGGUAUUCUUACAAAAAGAGGAAAUUUAGGCUGGGCGAAGUGGCUCACGCCUGUAAUCCCAGCACUUUGGGAGUCUGAGACAGGCGGAUCAUGAGGUCAGGAGUUUGAGACCAGCCUGGACCACAUGGUGAAACCCUGUCUCUACUAAAAACACAAAAAUUAGCUGGGCAUAGUGGUGUGCACCUGUGAUCUCAGCUACUCAGAAGGCUGAGGCAGGAGCAUUUCUUGAACCUGGGAGGCAGAGGUUGCAGUGAGCUGAGAUCAUGCCACUGCACUCCGGCCUGGGCAACAGAGCAAGACUCUUUCUCAGAGAAAAUUAAUAAAUAAAAAAAAGAAGAAAUUUGGACACAGAGACACACACAUAGGGAGAAUGCCAUGUAAAGAUUGAAACUAUUUUGCCACAAGCCAAGAACUCCCAGAAGCUAGGAGAAAGGCCAGGAACAGGUCUUUCCCUGGUGCCUUCAGAGGGAGCACAACCCUGCUGACACCUUGAUCUUGGACUUCUAGCCUGCAGAGCUGAGACAAUAAAUUCCUGUUGGUAAAGCCACUUGGUUUGUGGUACUUUGUUAUGGCAGCCCUAGCAAAUACGUACAGUCAUGCAUGGUAUAACAGCAUUUCCAUCAAUGCAAAUCACAUAUUCAACGAUGGUCCCAUAGAUAAACAGUACCAUAUUUUUACUGUACCUUUUCUAUGUUUAGAUAUGUUUGGAUACAUAAAUACUUACCACUGUGCUAUAACUGCCUACAGGAUUCAGCACAGGAACAUGUUGUAUAGGUUUGUAGCCUAGGCAUAAUAGACUAUACCGAAUAGCCUAGGCGUGUAGUAGGCUAUACCACCUAGGUUUGUGUAAGUACACUCCUUGAUGUCCAUGCAAUGGCAAAACCGCCUAAUGACACGUUUCUCAAAACAUAUCCCCUUUAUUAAGCAACCUGUGACUAUAGAGUCAGCCCUCCUUUUCCACAGUUCCACAUUUGCAGAUUUAAUUAACUAUAAAUCAAAAAUAUUCAGAAAAACAAAACAAUAAAAAAUACAAAUUUGAAAAACUAUACGGUAUAGCAAGCACUUAUGUAGCAUGUACAUUGUAUUAGGUACUAUAAGUAAUCUGGAAAUGAUUUAAAGUAUAAGUGAGGAUGUGCAUAGGUUCUAAGCAAAUACUAAGCUUUUGUUUUAAAUUUGAGACAGAACCUCCUCUGUUGCCCAGGCUGGAGUGUAGUGGCACAAUCUCAACUCACUGCAACCUCCACCUGCUAGGCUCAGGCAACCUUCCCUGCCUCAGGCUCCCAAGUACCUGGGAUUACAGGUGCUCACCACCACACCUGGCUAAUGUUUGUACAUUUAGUAGAGAUGAGGUUUUGCCCUGUUACCCAGACUGGUCUUGAAUUCCGGGGCUCAAUCGAUCCAACUGCCUCAGCCUCCCAAAGUGUUGGGAUUACAGGCUUGAGCUACUGUGCCUGGCCUAAGCCAUUUUAUAUAAGAGACUUAAGCACUGAUAGACUUUGAUAUCCAUGGAACCAAUUUCCCCAUAAAUACUAACGGACAACUGUAUGUAUAUGUGUGUUAUUACAUUUCCAUUUUACAGAUAAGAAAAACAAAAUGCAAGAACUUAAGGUCACACAGUAAGUAGGUGAGCUGAGAAUUAAACAUGAUCAAAACCUUUACCUUAACCCUUAUAUUACAUGGUAGUGGUACUUAAUAGGAUUGUCAUAAAGACCAAGUGAGAUAAUUCAUGCAAAUAUUUAGCUCUGUGACUAGCACAUAUUAAGCACUCAACAAAUUUAGCUACUAUUGUUUGUUGUGGUGGUUCUGUAUCCAGAAUUAUACAUUUAAUAUUCAUCACAAAUUCUUCAGUUGAGGUCCUAUUAUUCCUAUAUUAUAGAUUUUUAAAAAGACUCAGAAUUAAUGAUGUGACUGGGAUUUCAAAGCAAGUUCUUGCUCCAAAAAACUGUCUUGUUCCAAAUCCAAACUAAACGACCCCUAUUUUCUAUUUAUUAAUCUCCUUCUAACUCUAUUCAAGAAAAGAAUUUCAAUCUGCCCUUGUUGGAAAAAUUCCAGCCAAGCUCAGGAGCUAGAUUGUGGUGGUUCUUUUGGAGGAUUAUGAUGAGAGACAGGUGAAGAGGGCCCCACCCAUGAGAUGAAAUGGAUCUGGCAGGCCUUGAAGCUGCUUGGAUCUCUGCAGGCCUAAGUACUAGUUUACAUGGAUUAUAAUAGAGCUAGGCCUGGCUAGAGGACCCUAACAAAUGAUAUAAACUAAAACCCAUUAUGCCACUAAAAAUAAACUACCGAAUUGAGUCAGAGAAAAAUCUCUCCAUUAAACAGGGCUUGAUGAAAUUCUAACAAAAGUUCACACACAAGACCCAAAGACACAAGCAAUAAGAAAAAGAUAAACAAAUUUGACUCAAAUCGAAUUUUUUAAGUAUUUUUAAGCAGAAGAUGUAACUAAGGCAUCCUAGGCAAAUGCAGCCUGGAAGUUGGCAUUCACAGUGAGUAUAACCGACAAGGAAGUGGUAUCCAGAAAAACGUCUUUAAAGCUCCUACAAGUCAGUAAAAAUAAGAAAAACUGCUCACCAGGAAAAACUGGGCCCAGAUGUUCAGGCCUCCACCAUAAGAUCACAGGAAGGUUUGCAUUUCACAUCCUGUUUCUCAAGAAAUAUGGCCUACGCUUCUGUAUUAGUCCGUUUUCAAACUGCUAUAAAGAUACUACUCAAGACUGCAUAAUUUAUAAAGGAAAGAGGUUUUUAAUUGACUCACAGUUCCACUUGGCUGGGGAGGCCUCAGGAAACUUACAAUCAUGGCGAAAGGGGAAGCAGGUGUGUCUUACAUGGCAGCAGGGUAGAGAGAUAGUGUGAGAGCGCAGGAAAAGCUACCAUUUAUAAAACCAUCAGAUCUCAUGAAAAUUCACUCACUAUCACGAGAACAGCAUGGAGGAAACCACCCCCAUAAUCCAAUCACUUCACUCCUUCCACACAUGGGGAUUACAAUUAGAGAUGAGACUUGGGUGAGGACACAGAGCCAAACCAUAUCACCUUCAACUGAGCAAUCUGCUCCUAGGUGUACAUACCCUAACCUUCCAGGAGACAUGAAUCAGAAUGUUCCCUGCAGCAUUAUUUGUAAUAGUGAGCAAUAAAAACACCUAGAUGGAUAAACAAUUGGUGGCAUAUUCACAAAAAUGAACUAGAGAUAGUGGUAUCUGCAUGGAUACAUCUCAUAAAUAUAAUAGUUUAAAAAAGCAAAUGGCAUUUAUUGUGGAUCACGAGGUCAGGAGAUCGAGACCAUCCUGGCUAACACAGUGAAGCCCCAUCUCUACUAAAAAAAAUACAAAAAAAUUAGCCGGGCGUGGUGGCAGGCAUCUGUGGUCCCAGCUACUCGGGAGGCUGAGGCAGGAGAAUGGCGUGAACCCGGGAGGCGGAGCUUGCAGUGAGCCAAGAUCGCACCACCACACUCCAGCCUGGGCGACAGAGCGAGACUCCAUCUCAAAAAAAAAAAUUAAAAUUAAAAAAAAAAUAAAUUAUUCUCCAAACUUUUAGUAAGUCUGACAUUUUUCAUAAUUAAAAAAACAUAAAAUCUUUUCUAAUGAGAAUUGUAGGGCCAGAGGCACAGAGGGUUCCUGGGGAAAGAAUGUUCAAUAAACAGCAAGCAGCAACUUUUUCCUGUGUCAAGUCUAUUGGUCCUGCCAGGUGCCAGGAGCUGGAGGGUGAUGAAAAUGUUCAGACUCAUUGCUGCCCUCAGAUGGCUUGUGAUCUAACUGGGUAAGAAUCAAAUCAGUGGCAAUGCCAGUCAGGAGUGAAGCAACAAGGCCACAACAAUAUGUGGCAGUCACUCACCAGCCACCAGCCCACAGGAGCAGAGGCUCCUGGGACAUCUGGCCACAGAGAAGUCAACACAACUGGCUCCUAAGCUGCAAGCUUCUUGAAGACAUCUGAGUCCCUGUUCCCUCCCUACCCACAUCUCCAUACUUUUUAUGGUUGGUUACAUUUUUUGUUUUGUUUUGUUUUGUUUUGUUUUAGAGACAGUGUCUCGCUAUGUUGCCCAGGCUGGUCUCAAACUCCUGGACUCAAGUGAUCCUCUCUCAUCAGCCUCCCGAGUAGCCAGGAUUACAGGCAAAUGCCAUGCUGUUGGUGAAAUUUUGUUUAAUUUUUUAUCUUUAAUUAUGAUAUAUUUCAAGCAUAUGAAAAGGCACAGAUGUAAUGAACACCCGAGGACAUCCUAGACAACAGAUGUUAACAUCAUUUGCAUUUGUUUUGGAUAUAUUUUGUAAUAUAUCAACAUAGAUGGAGCAAAUCCUCACACCCUGACCCCAAGUCUUCCCGUUCCCUCCCACGCCGAAGGGAACCACUGUCCUAACACUAUUUAUCUCUCCCAUGCAUACUUUUGGACCUAUAAACACAGAAUAUUGUAAGACAAUGUAGUAAAACAAUAGAUUUCACACUUUUUACCACACUCAAUCCAUGAAAAGCAUUUUAUACUUUGACCCUGUAAACAUGCACGCACACACACACACACGUGCAUGCAUAUACGUAGACAUAUAUACCUGUGUAUGUGAGCGCAUAUGUAAUCUGAAACAAAAUUUUCAUGAAAUAACACUCUUAACUACUUGCGGUACAUUCUGAUUUUUUUUUUUUUUUUUUAAGAUGGAGGCAAGAGAAUCAUUUAACCCGGGAGGCUGAGGUUGCAGUGAGCGGAGAUUGCACCACUGCACUCCAGGUUGGGUUACAGACUUUUUCUUUUUUCUACAACCAUGACAAUCCCAACUCAGCUCAUAGGGACUAACAAGAAAGUGGACUCUACAGUCUCUAUAGCAACACUGGAGUGGAGGAGGCAAGCUAACUCUAAGUUGUUAUGUUGAUGGUGGCUGAUCAUCAGGCAUGUUUAGUACCAAAGUUCUCGAACAUGUAUGCUUGAAUGUACACCCUACAUGAUUUCUUUGUAAUGUUCUUUUUCCAUCCCAUGACUCCACCCAAAUUCUCCACUCACUAUCUCCCACUGUAUGGUUUUAUGGGGCUGCUCAUCCAAGGACCGUACUGGUACAGUAUUCUCAAUUCCUUCCAUUAUCAUAUUGUUAUAAUAAAAAUGUUAUUUUUGUAUCCUAGGUAACCCAAUU
Molecule: long non-coding RNA, 6331 nt
Filed under: Homo sapiens (human)
Lineage: Eukaryota; Metazoa; Chordata; Mammalia; Primates; Hominidae
Description: HSALNT0033378
Source: RNAcentral